This is an unclassified non-coding RNA of Cebus imitator (Panamanian white-faced capuchin), 320 nucleotides long. Its record names the gene 7SK. It matches the Rfam family "7SK RNA". Rfam says of the family: 7SK was discovered as an abundant small nuclear RNA in the mid-70s but a possible function has only recently been suggested. The record is from Ensembl. Lineage: Eukaryota; Metazoa; Chordata; Mammalia; Primates; Cebidae.
GGAUGUGAGGGUGAUCUGGCUGUGACAUCUGUCACUCCAUCGAUUGCCAGGGUUAAUUUGGCUGAUCUGGCUGGCUAGGUAGGUGUCCCCUACCUCCCUCACCACUCCAUGUUCAUCCCUCCCGAAGAGGCGUGCUCGGUCAAAGAGGACGACCAUAACUGAUAGAGGACUGGCCUUCAGUCAAGGGUAUAUGGUAGCUGCGCUCCCCUGCUAGAAUCUUCAAGCUUAAUGGCACACUCAUGCACAGGUGAUUAAAUACAAGCAGUCAAGGCCUGCAUCCCCGACUUGAAUGGAAGCUCAAUGAGGGCAGAAGCUCUUUG